AAACUAAUAAUAUUUUACAGAAAUCUUUUUAAAUAAUUUCAUUUAAAAUAAAAAAAUAAAAGUAAUUACAAGUUAAAAAAAAUAUGAAAUAUUUUUCUACAGAUACCUAAUUAACAAAUAACAUGACAUAUAAUGAGCUGGAUUUUUUAAGACAAGACAGCUCUCCAUUAUCAUCUUAUGCAUAACUACAUGACCUGUCCCAAAUUUUAUUUUAGUAUUGCUGCUGCGCGUUUUGCUAGUUAAAAGAAAAUAGACAAUAUACAAUAUCUAUAUUUAUUUUAUUAUUUACUAAUAAGUUAGAUUCGUACAAAAAUAAUUAUAAUUAAAAAUAAUAGUAUUAUUUCUGUUAGAUGGGAUAAACUUACUUCCUUUUCUUUCAUAAUAACUAGUGAAGUAAGUUAAUAAUUUAAUAUCCAAUUUAAAUAUAUAGCAUUAAAUCUAAGCACCACACUGCAGUUUCGGUAUAAUUCAUUAGAAGCAUAUAUCCUUUGUACUACAGAUUUAAUCUUGUGGACAUCGUAAUUUGAGUUUGGAUCCUUUUGGCCAAUAACCCAUAAAUGAAAGAAGUUUUCGUGGAGCAACACGGCCUCUUUUUUUCCUUCACCUCCAUGGCUUCUUACCAUUUAUUAUCACAAAAAGCAACAAAUAGUAAUAAAUGUAUCUGACAAUGAAAAUAGUCAUUUACCUCCAAACAAAUCUAACAUGUUUCAAUUAUUAAGAAAACAAUGAAUUAGUAUAAUUUAUAUAAUAUAUUAAACAAUGAAACUAAUUAAAUAUCUAUUAAUAUUUAAGAUAUCUUCACGGGAUAUCAAAUAAAGAACUGAAAAGACUUUUGUUGGAGUAUAGGAAUCACAGAGUCAGAACACUUAUAAGAAAUGACUAACGCAAUUAAAAAAAUGUUAAAUAUAGAAAAUGGAAAACAAUUUACCUCAUAUACAAAUUAUUUUGCCUUCUUCCUUUCCUCUUCAUUUUCUUUUCGUUUAUUGUAUUUUUUGUAUGCAGGAAAUGAGAAAAAAAAUGUUCAUCAAACAGAAAUGGAACAAAAAUAAACAAUUCGCACAAAAAACAAAGAAUAAAAACUUUAAUCUUCUGUCUUCAUCAUUUCACUCAUUUCUCUCUUAAAGCCUUCCACCGUUGAAGUUGCUUUGCUUAAUGUUUUAUUUUAUGCUUCAUAAUUUAGUGGCCUAACAUUCCCCAAAAAUAUGAACUUUUUCCCUCAAACCUAAGAUCUACUAUGAGAAUUCAAUAGAAAACCAAUACCAAUACCACUACAUUUCAAAUUCAAAAUUUUAAAUUUCAAAACAGAACAAAUGCUUUGUAUAAAAACAAUAUUGCACAUAACAAAAAAAAAUAUUAAACCAGAUGAACAUCAAUAUGAAAAAAGACACAAAACAACAUAAAACAUUUAAAUCAGAUGAACAUCAAUGAAAAAACACAUAACAAAAUAUUUAAAUCGGAUGAACAUCAAUAUGAAAAAAAUAAUUGUAGAUGAGAAAUAUGAUGAAAAAGUAAAACAGAACAAAUGCUUGGCAUAAAAAAAAUUGCACAUAACAAAACAAAAAAUUUAAAUCGAAAUUAAUUUAAACCAGAAUAACAUUAGUAUGUAAUGUAGUAAACAAAAGUGAUAAACUUACGAAGAACUGUUGAAGACCUUUUGGGGAUUUUGAGAACAAUAAGAUUGAGGAAUAAUGCAAAAUUCAAUAUGAAAAAAAAACACAUAACAAAACAAAACAUUUAAUUUCGACAAUAUGAAAAAAAAUUAUAAAUGAGAAAUAUGAUGAAAAAGAAAAACAAAACAAAUGUUUGGCAUAAAAGAAACUACACAAAACAAAUCAAAAAAAUUAAACUGGAAUAACAUCAGUAUGAAAUGUAGUAAACACAAAAGAUAAGUUUACCAAGAAUGGGUGAUGACCUUUUGGGAGUUUUGAGAGCAAUAUGAUUGAGGAAUGCAUGGCAGAAUCCAAUGAGAAGAUGAUGUAUAAAUAGUAAAAAAAAGGCUCCAAAAUUCAUCAGAAAUCAAAUUUGAAAUUAAAAAAUCAUUACCUUGAAAUAUGGUUAAACAUAAACUUACUUUACUGCAAAACAUGUCCAUAAACAAAAAAAAAAACUCGAGAGUAGUGUCACAAAAAGAACCCAUUUUGAAUUUUGAAAUUGGUAAAUAGUUUUAGCAAAACAUGAAAAAUGUAAACUUAAUGAUUCAGGAAACACUUAAAAACAAACAUAAGUUAAGCAGUGUCAAAAAAAGAACAUACAACAUAACCAAAUAUGAGUUUUGAAAUUUUGAAAUAAUCAGAAACCCUAAUGACUCUAAAAAACAAUUAAAAACAAACAUUAACCAUAAAAAGGAAAUAUUUGAGAAAACGUCUUUGAAAUGUGGUUAAAAUCGAUUAAGCUUUAAAACCAUAUAUACUUAGAAACCCUAAUGAAUUUGUAAACGAUUAAAAACAAACAUUAACCAUAAAAGGAAAAUUUACGAGAUCUUUUUUUGAAAUACGGUUAAAAACCGAUUAAAAGUAGAAACCAUAAAUAGUCAAAAACCCUAAUGACUCCAAAAAAGAUUAAAAACAACAUUAUACAACAAAUCUCGAAAAACGACCCAAUCGCAAAUCGGAAAGUUCUUACCACUUUGAAACCCUAGAAAUCAUGUAACACGGUUUGGGGAGAAGACUCAGCAAACGAUGUAGUUUUGUUUUUCCAGGCGUACAAAAAAAGACAAAGAUCUUACCUCGACGAGGUGGAGGAUACGAUGCUUAAACAUAUGGUGCAUUCAUUUUCACAAAGAACAAAAUCACGAAGAACCUAUGAGAGAGUAGAGGUGGUUGUGACAGAAUAGCGAAAAAGAAAAUGAGAGAGAGAGAGAGAGCAAAGAGCAACACAAUGUCAGAGAGCAUUCGAAAAUGUAAUGAGAGAGAGCGAAAGGAAAAACUAAAAAGAGAGAGAAAGAACAAAAAGUAAAAAAUAAUAGAGAGAGACACAGUGAAGGAAGGAAGUGUCACGUGUCAUCGAAAAUGAAAGAAGGGAGUGUCACAUAUCACUUUAAGAAUGCAUUUCUGAAAUAAUGUUUUGAGUGAUUCUUUUCUUACCCUAAAAAUAGUUCCCAUUUUUAUUAUAGAUACAUAGAGUAUUUUAAUCUGAUGAUUUUUUUUUUAUCUACAUUCACUUGUUUAUAUGUAAACUAAUUAAGGAAGGAUAAAUUUUUAUUGCAAUUUUGAUUGACUUUCAUCUUAGUAAGUUACUUAUUUAAACAUGUUUAAUAAUUUUUUUGUUUUAUUUUGAAUAUAUAAUUAUGCAUUUUCCUUUGUGUUGCUACUUUCCAAGAGUUGAUGUGUAUUGUGGCAGGUUGUCUUUACAAAGAACCAAUCUUUAUAAAGAACACUAGUGCAUAAAUGCUAAACAAAGGCGGUUAUUUUACAUUUACAAAUGCGACUAUAGAGCCGCAUUUGAUCAGCACACAUUCGUAAAUCAAAGAGAUACAAAUGCGGCUACAUAGCUGCACUUGUAAAUACUAUUUAUAAAUGCGGCUAUUUCAGGUAGCCGCAUUUGUAUAUGCUUCUGAAUGAGGUGACAGGGUUUAGGGUUUACAAAUGCGGCUUGUAAAUCACAUUUACGAAUGCGGCUUUGGUAAUAGCCGCAUUUGUAAAUCAUGCGCUUGAUUUACAAAUGCGGCUUUGGUAAAUAACCACACUUGUAAAUAGUGGUUUGUUUUUAGUGCAAUCUGUUUUGUCCCAAACUCAUAUAAAUUAACCUGUAUAUUGAUCAAAAUGUACCCAACCAGACAAAUACAUAAAUAUAGAGAUAAAUUUAGAGAAUCUAAAUGUACAUUACAAACAAGUAAUCAAAUUACAUAUAAUCCCUACACUAUUGAUCAGCUAUCCUAGAGUUAUAAAAAUUUAUGAAAUAUGUGGACUAAGAAUGUCUCACAUAUGACAUGGCUUCUGAAUUCAUUGGUAUUUCUUCCGUGAAUAACUGCAUUGCAAAAUAUAGUUGACAUAAAUUAGUUUUUAGAUACAUAUAUGUUCAACAAUUAUAAAAAUGAUUUAACAUAUCAUGUUACCUCUUUCCAACCAGUUUUAACACCUAGUCUUAUAAUGGUAAUCAUCCAUUGCAUAAUGUAAUAGCCACAUUAAUAACUUCAUGGUUGUUUAUUACACUAUAAUUCAAUAAAAGUAAAAGUUAGUAUAUUGAUAAACAAUGAUAAGAGAAAGAAAAAAUUACAAACCUUUAUUCUUAUCUAGUUCAAAUUAUUUGAACUAGAUCGACCUUUUAGGAUGUUAUAUCCACGCCAUGAACUGGUUAAUACAAAAAACCUCGUUAGUAGAUGGUUAAUUAGUAACAUACAAAGUAAAGUUUAUAGUGUACUUACGUAUCAAUGAUAUUCUUAAAAUUUGUGGGUAUCUUAUUGUGUAGGGAACAAAACCACACAUCAGUCUUAUCAACCAUUGAUAAGACAAGUAACUGCCAAUGAUGCCUAUAUCAUCCAUGAAAAAAGUUAGUAAAUAUUUAAAACAUGAAAUAGUAAUAAUUGAUGACAUAUAAUUAAAUUUACUCAUUAAUAUAAGGGCAUAAAUAAAAAUUUUCCCUCUUUUUCCAGGGUGUUAGUGAUGUAUGCUUGGGUCUCAUAUGACCUUGGUUCAACG
RNAcentral lists this long non-coding RNA (4637 nucleotides) under Phaseolus vulgaris (common bean). RNAcentral describes it as "long non-coding RNA (PVUL_LNC004068)". Lineage: Eukaryota; Viridiplantae; Streptophyta; Magnoliopsida; Fabales; Fabaceae. The record is from RNAcentral.